RNAcentral lists this ribosomal RNA (1540 nucleotides) under Staphylococcus aureus M1402. Its description in RNAcentral is "16S ribosomal RNA". It matches the Rfam family "Bacterial small subunit ribosomal RNA". The record is from RNAcentral. Lineage: Bacteria; Bacillati; Bacillota; Bacilli; Caryophanales; Staphylococcaceae.
AGAGUUUGAUCCUGGCUCAGGAUGAACGCUGGCGGCGUGCCUAAUACAUGCAAGUCGAGCGAACGGACGAGAAGCUUGCUUCUCUGAUGUUAGCGGCGGACGGGUGAGUAACACGUGGAUAACCUACCUAUAAGACUGGGAUAACUUCGGGAAACCGGAGCUAAUACCGGAUAAUAUUUUGAACCGCAUGGUUCAAAAGUGAAAGACGGUCUUGCUGUCACUUAUAGAUGGAUCCGCGCUGCAUUAGCUAGUUGGUAAGGUAACGGCUUACCAAGGCAACGAUGCAUAGCCGACCUGAGAGGGUGAUCGGCCACACUGGAACUGAGACACGGUCCAGACUCCUACGGGAGGCAGCAGUAGGGAAUCUUCCGCAAUGGGCGAAAGCCUGACUGAGCAACGCCGCGUGAGUGAUGAAGGUCUUCGGAUCGUAAAACUCUGUUAUUAGGGAAGAACAUAUGUGUAAGUAACUGUGCACAUCUUGACGGUACCUAAUCAGAAAGCCACGGCUAACUACGUGCCAGCAGCCGCGGUAAUACGUAGGUGGCAAGCGUUAUCCGGAAUUAUUGGGCGUAAAGCGCGCGUAGGCGGUUUUUUAAGUCUGAUGUGAAAGCCCACGGCUCAACCGUGGAGGGUCAUUGGAAACUGGAAAACUUGAGUGCAGAAGAGGAAAGUGGAAUUCCAUGUGUAGCGGUGAAAUGCGCAGAGAUAUGGAGGAACACCAGUGGCGAAGGCGACUUUCUGGUCUGUAACUGACGCUGAUGUGCGAAAGCGUGGGGAUCAAACAGGAUUAGAUACCCUGGUAGUCCACGCCGUAAACGAUGAGUGCUAAGUGUUAGGGGGUUUCCGCCCCUUAGUGCUGCAGCUAACGCAUUAAGCACUCCGCCUGGGGAGUACGACCGCAAGGUUGAAACUCAAAGGAAUUGACGGGGACCCGCACAAGCGGUGGAGCAUGUGGUUUAAUUCGAAGCAACGCGAAGAACCUUACCAAAUCUUGACAUCCUUUGACAACUCUAGAGAUAGAGCCUUCCCCUUCGGGGGACAAAGUGACAGGUGGUGCAUGGUUGUCGUCAGCUCGUGUCGUGAGAUGUUGGGUUAAGUCCCGCAACGAGCGCAACCCUUAAGCUUAGUUGCCAUCAUUAAGUUGGGCACUCUAAGUUGACUGCCGGUGACAAACCGGAGGAAGGUGGGGAUGACGUCAAAUCAUCAUGCCCCUUAUGAUUUGGGCUACACACGUGCUACAAUGGACAAUACAAAGGGCAGCGAAACCGCGAGGUCAAGCAAAUCCCAUAAAGUUGUUCUCAGUUCGGAUUGUAGUCUGCAACUCGACUACAUGAAGCUGGAAUCGCUAGUAAUCGUAGAUCAGCAUGCUACGGUGAAUACGUUCCCGGGUCUUGUACACACCGCCCGUCACACCACGAGAGUUUGUAACACCCGAAGCCGGUGGAGUAACCUUUUAGGAGCUAGCCGUCGAAGGUGGGACAAAUGAUUGGGGUGAAGUCGUAACAAGGUAGCCGUAUCGGAAGGUGCGGCUGGAUCACCU